GCGCCGAGCACUCGAUCGCAAAGCAGGGGCAAGCUUUCCCUCACUUUGCGGCAUUCCAUUUCUGAAGAAAAGAGCCGAAGUGUGGCAACGCGUCGCGCCUCUCCCCAAAAGCUAACCCGGGACUCCCAAGGGAAGUUUUAAAACCUUAAACUGUAUAUUGCUUCAUUUUACCGUACUGUGAAUACCACAAUGGCACCAGAUCCUCCAUCUGAUCGUGAAGCUAAGCUGGAUCAACUCUGGAUGAACCUGCUGGGAGAACUCAUCCGGAGUUUUGGAGUACAUUGCCAUCUAAAUGCGGAUGACAUCCAACUCUACUAUUCCUUCCCCCCCAAAGCCAAGGAAGCUGUCCUGACCCUAAACCAGUGUCUGUUAUCAGAAAUGGACUGGAUGAGGGCAAACAAAUUGAAACUUAAUCCAGACAAGACAGAGGUACUCCUAGUCAGUUGGAAGGCAGAUCAAGGACUAGAGAGCCAGCAUGUGAUGGAUGGGGACACACACACCCCUGAAGACACAGGUCCGCAGUUUAAGGGUCCUCCUGGACUUGGCACUGAACCUGGAGCCCAGGUAUCGGUGUUGGCCAGGAAAGUCAUUGCACAAUUAAAAUGUGCUCCAACUGCUCCUGUUCCUUGAGAAGCCAGAUCUGGCCACGGUGGUACAUGCCUCAGUUACUAUAACAUGCUCUACAUGGGGCUGCCUCUGAAGAGUGCUUGGAAACUUCAACUGGUCCAAAGAGCUGCAGUCAGGUUGCUAAUUGGGGCUGGCUACAGAGAGCGGACAACCCUAUUGCAGCAGCUCCACUGGCUGCCAGUCUGUUUCCGGGCACAAUUCAAAGUACUAGUGAUGACCUUUAAACCCCUAUGUGGUUCAGGUCCAGGCUAUUUGCUGACUGCAUCCCCUUAUGCAAACCUGCCUGGGCCCUGAGAUCUUCAGGAGAGACCCUUCUCUCAGUCCCACCUAAAGCACGGUUGGUGGGGACAAGAAAGAGGACCUUCUCAGUGGCUGCCCCACAACUCUGGAACUCUCUGCCCAGGGAAGCCAGAAUGCCCCUCUCCCUGCUGUCCUUCUGGCAGCAGGCUACAACCUUCUUAUUAAGACAGGCUUUUAAAGAAGAAGGUUUUUAAAAUCAAAUCAGGGGAUGCUGUAGCUUUUAGCUUUGAAUAUGUUUAAAUGGGUUUUAACUGUGAAUUGUUAAUACUGUUAGGUUUAAUUCUGUUUUAAUGUUUGCAUACUACUGUGUUUUAAAUUAUGUGGUCAUACUUUUAAUGUAAGUCACUUUGAGUCUCCUUCAAGAGAGAUAAAGAAGGCCAUAAACACAAUAACAAUAAUAACAACUCCUUUUUUUCCACCUUAUUAACUCAUGCCCUCUUUGUUUUCAUCUAUAUUCCCGAAACCACAGAUGGAUUUCCAAAUGUUGUUGGACUUGCAGCAUAGCCAAUGGUUAAGACUACUAUGAGUGGCAGUCUAAUAACUGAAGGGCCACAUGUUUCCCAUCCGUUGUAAACCAUGCACAAACCUAUCCCAAGGCCAUAUGUUUCUAGAUAAUGAACAAUCCUGACACAGGAAGCACAACUGUGAAAUGAAUGCAGUAGAAUCAUUCAACUGAGAACUGCUGCCAAGAAAACUGAGGGAGAGGAGAGUUUCAACAACAUAUUCCACAUACCUUCAAAAUCUACUCUGGAAAGCUGGGAUUUCAUCUAAUGCAUAGGUCAGCCACAUACAGCCGCACAUGAUUUUGACCCCUUCCAACUAAAAAAUGGAAAACUGCAGUAUAUUCCAGAAGACAGGCUCUGCCUUUGUAUCAACCUCACCAAUCUUUAUUUUUAACCAUAAAAAAUAGUUUCCCUAAAACUAGAAGAGAACAUUCCCCAAUACAAGUCUACAACAUCAAAUUAACACACUGAGUGAGAACAUGGGUGAGACCCUUGUCUACUAGAGCACUUGGUUAUCAAAUGUAAUCUCUGGAGAGACCCAAUGAAGGCAAUUCUGGUGAAACCAGUGCAAAAUAAACACAUGACUUUUUGCUAG
Molecule: long non-coding RNA, 2025 nt
Organism: Anolis carolinensis (green anole)
Lineage: Eukaryota; Metazoa; Chordata; Lepidosauria; Squamata; Anolidae
Exons: 2
Source: RefSeq, a predicted model, not a curated record